Molecule: ribosomal RNA, 960 nt
Filed under: Triticum aestivum (bread wheat)
Lineage: Eukaryota; Viridiplantae; Streptophyta; Magnoliopsida; Poales; Poaceae
Description: partial small subunit ribosomal RNA
Source: RNAcentral
AUGAAGGCAGCAUUAAAAACUAUCCUCCCACAAACUCUGCAUAAGCUAUGUCGGUGGCAUAUCAUGAAGAAGUACAAGGACCACCUCGCCUUGCUGUAUAAGGCGCACGAGAAGCUCAAGGACGAACUCAAUGCAGUGUUGAACCACCCACUAAUGCCGUCAGAAUUUGAACGAGCAUGGAAGAACCUCAUUCAGAGGUACAACUUGCAAGACGACGUGAUGAAUUCACUGUGGGAUGACAUGCACGAGUGGAUCUUAGCUUACUACAAGGAAAUUUUCUGUGCUCGGAUGACUUCCACACAGAGAAGCGAGAGCAUGAACCGCAUACUGAAGAAAAAUUUUGUCAGGGAGAAGCAUGAUCUCCAUCUGUUUGCUCAGCAGGUGGACAAGUGCAUUCAGACCAGGAAGGCCGUCGAGCACGUAGAGACAAUAGCAAAUGAGUCAGAGGUAAAAACAACAACAAAGUUUGGCUUCGAAGUUCAGCUAUCAAAAGUGUAUACAAGAGCAGUGUUUGCAGAUUUCAAAGAAACGCUCUACCGUAGCACUGCAUUCAGAGCAGAACGGUGCCCUGAGAACCCGACAAAGUAUCUAGUACACCACUACAACAGAUCGGAUGCAUUUGACUGGGCAAGGCAUAAUUUCCAAGUGGUCGCCGAUGAAGAGAAAGGUGUCUACGAAUGUGAGUGCAAACUCUGGACACACACAGGCCUCUUCUGCGUCCAUGUCUUAUGCAUGCUUUCUCAUUUGAGAGUACUCAACAUUCCUGAGGUGUACAUCAUGAAGAGAUACACUCGUAAUGCAAGAUCAGAUGCAACGUUUGACAGAAGAGACUACGAACAAACAACACCAGAUGGAACCUCGCUUUUUUGCCGUAGAAAAUUGCUGACAGAAAAGCAAUGGACCUUGCAAACAGAGCGACAAGGUCAGACGCUGGGUGCCACAGAGCGUUGUCUGGUAUGA